GUAGAUAUAGUUUUAAUAAAACACCAGACCGUGGCUCUGAAAAUAGAAGUUAAAACCUUCUUAUCAACC
RNAcentral lists this transfer RNA (69 nucleotides) under Dibamus bourreti. Its description in RNAcentral is "tRNA-His". It matches the Rfam family "tRNA". Rfam says of the family: Transfer RNA (tRNA) molecules are approximately 80 nucleotides in length. Their secondary structure includes four short double-helical elements and three loops (D, anti-codon, and T loops). Further hydrogen bonds mediate the characteristic L-shaped molecular structure. tRNAs have two regions of fundamental functional importance: the anti-codon, which is responsible for specific mRNA codon recognition, and the 3' end, to which the tRNAs corresponding amino acid is attached (by aminoacyl-tRNA synthetases). tRNAs cope with the degeneracy of the genetic code in two manners: having more than one tRNA (with a specific anti-codon) for a particular amino acid; and 'wobble' base-pairing, i.e. permitting non-standard base-pairing at the 3rd anti-codon position. Lineage: Eukaryota; Metazoa; Chordata; Lepidosauria; Squamata; Dibamidae. RNAcentral also lists the same sequence under 1 other name. The record is from RNAcentral.